Molecule: long non-coding RNA, 422 nt
Filed under: Musa acuminata (dwarf banana)
Lineage: Eukaryota; Viridiplantae; Streptophyta; Magnoliopsida; Zingiberales; Musaceae
Description: long non-coding RNA (MACU_LNC011445)
Source: RNAcentral
CACUUUAUCAUUACUGCAAACCUCCUACAUAGCUACUGCUCUCUGCGCUUUUACGAACAAGUUUCUAAGUUCUGAUCUUUCCGAAUCUGCAUUCAGACGUAAAUCGAUGUUUUCGUACGAUCUUUACAUUGCAGUUUACAUUUACGUUUUGAUUCUACUUAUAACUGUAAACUGUCUUCUGCGCUUUUACGAACGAGUGUCUAAGUUCAGAUCUUUCCGAAUCUGAGCUUAGACGUAAACUACGCUUAGACGCAAACUGUGUUUAGACGCAAACUGCGCUUAGACGCAAUCUGCGCUUAGACGCAAACUGCGCUUAGAUGCAAACUGCGCUUAGACGCAAUCUGCAUUUAGACGCAAACUGCAUUUAGACGCAAACUGCGUAAACUGCGCUUAGACGCAAACUGUGUUUAGACGUAAACUGC